GCCUCCUCUUCCUUCGUCCCUCUGCUAUCCGUCGAAAGAGCAGAAGGCUUUCGAUCCCUUUGUCCUUAAACUCCCCAUCGGACCCGAUCUCGGGUGCUCCGUCUCCAUUCUCGAAGCUCUGAUCAUUGGGCUAAGAAAGAUCUGGGGAUUGGAGGGCGGAACGAACGACGACGAGGGUGGAAGGUCGACGCGAUCGGAGGUUGGAGUCUCUUCCAUUGGAUGCCUUGGCGGAUCCCAUGCCGUCGAUUUGAUCGUCGAAGUCCGAAGUAGAUGUUCCGUAAGAACGACUCGGCCUUGUCCUGCUUCUAUCUCUUCUUGCUCUGGUUCUUCUUCCUAAAAUAGCGAGGAAGGAUCCGAACCCUAAGCUGCGACGAGUGCUUUGCGAUGGGGAAGAGGUCGAACCGGAUCGAGGACGAGUUUCUUGGAGGAGCGAUGUUGGACCUCAACUUGGCGUCUUCCAGCGAGCGCUCUGGCGCCGGGCAGGUGGAUGAUUCCAGGAGUUCCAAUUCGUCCGGCCUCAACGCCGAGGUGAUGGUCCAUGUGAUCGACGAGGAUUACUGCUCCACCCAGCCUGCCGCUGCCUUCGAAUUCAGUAUCUUGAAGAGCUGUACGUCGGGUGAAGUCGGGAAUGAAGUCGAAGAGGAGAACGAGGACGAUCGGCGACAACCUGCUCUAGUCACGAGGCAGCUGUUUCCACCACCGCCGGUGGUUCCGCAUGUUUCCCAACUGCCCAUGGUUGCUUCUUCCUCGUCGUCAACCAGGCCGCAUUGGUUGGAUUUUACGUUCUCGCAUGCCGAGGCACCAACGGAGUUGAGAGUUAUCCAUAAGCAGCAGCAGCAGCAGCAACAACAACAACAACCACAACCGCAGCAGCAGCAGCAGCAGCAACAACAACAACAACAACCACAACCGCAACAGCAGGUGAAGAGGAGUCGAAGGGGGCCACGGUCUCGGAGCUCUCAGUAUCGAGGCGUUACCUUCUACCGCAGGACAGGGAGAUGGGAAUCUCACAUCUGGGAUUGCGGCAAACAAGUUUAUUUGGGUGGUUUUGACACGGCUGAUGCUGCCGCAAGGGCAUAUGAUCGAGCUGCGAUUAGAUUUCGUGGAGUUGAUGCUGACAUCAACUUCAAUCUCAGCGACUAUGAAGAAGAUCUGAAAGAGAUGAAAAAUCUACCAAAGGAAGAAUUUGUGCAUGCUCUUCGUCGCCAAAGCACUGGGUUCUCGAGGGGAAGUUCAAAAUAUAGGGGAGUGACUCUUCACAAGUGUGGUCGCUGGGAAGCUCGCAUGGGGCAAGUCCUUGGCAAGAAGUACAUAUAUCUUGGGUUAUUCGACAGCGAAAUAGAAGCUGCAAGGGCUUAUGACAAAGCAGCUAUAAAGUAUAAUGGAAAGGAGGCUGUUACAAAUUUUGAUCCAAGUGCCUACGAAGAAGAACUACUUUUGGAGGGUGAUAAAGAAGGCCAUGAUAUGGAUCUGAAUUUAAGGAUUUCGCAACCUGCUGUCCACAAUCAGAGAGGGAAUCAAAAUCCAACGGGUGUUCAAUUUGAAGCUUCUGAUGCUGACAAAGCAAGACAGGAUGAGACAGAAGAGCUCUGAGUAGGUUGGUUCACAAGCUCUCACUGUUUCCGUCUGCAGAAUCACCAGGAUGCUGCUCUUUAUCAACAGCAAUGACCACCUUAAACAACCCAUGGUCUCCGUUUCUCCCCAGAAGCUGUUUCAGUAUCGGUGCAAUGUUGCAGACAAAACAACAGUGAACAUGCUGUAAACCUAUCAACAGGGUACAACAGCAAAAAGCAACAAGUGCAAGUGGACCUGUACCUGGAUAUUAAACUACUCCGCUCCCGAUCUCACAAUUGCCACUGCCUAUCUUUCAACCAUUAAAAGGAAAAGGAUAAGCCGCAAAUUAUUAGAGACGUACCACCGUUCGUCCAAACACCACCAGAAGACUCUUCCCACAUAAGCCAAAUUUAAUUUCACAUCUGCCUUCUCGGGCUUCGUCUUCGUUGUUCCGGAGGCUCAAAGCCCACAAGUGUUACAUCCAGCAUCACUUGGAGAUUUUGUUAAUUUCCCUUACAUUUUGUUCUCCAAGAAUCACUUGGAGAUUUAGCAAUCUUGCCAACACACUUGUGCAAGGUUGGAGUUGCAGGUUUUCCAUUCGGCCUUACAUCAGUAGUCUUCAGGGGCGUCAUCCCUGAAUUCAGAUACAGCAAGAUCCUAACAAGUUACUGUGAAGAUAAGAAGAUAAUGCAUCACCAUCAUGGUUUGGUCUCCGAUCCAACUUAGAAUACUCCCACGGAAGAAUGCAAGGCGAUGUAGUUGCCAUUACUUUGGGCUAAAAUUCUAGUGUUAUACCAUGCAAUGGUGAGCAUAAGAAGAUUCCUAGGCCAUUGUCCUCGGGAAUCUUCGCUGAAUCUGAUCCCUAGACCACCUUCUGCACUGUCUUCCAGCUUUCCAAUCGAAAGCUAUGUCUUCCCCCAUUAUCUGCAUUGCUUUUAAGAAGGCCAAGCAAAAUCAUUCAAAAGCAAGCACUGGGGAAGAAAGAUCUCACCCUUUUUUUUUCCUCCCGCGUGCACCGACCACAACCAGGAGAGACAAAAAAAAAACAGAUGGAUCAGAUGCCAGAUCGAAUGGAAGAAGCUAAGGAAGGCAGGCCACACGAGGAGAAAGAAGACGAUGCAAAGAUCCGAGCACUGCCUCUUGGGCCACAACAAGGAAAGCAUAGAUAAAGUAGGAGAACCUCACUCGAGGGAAGACGAUGGAAUCCAGUGAUCUCUGUGGCCACGUCCCGCUUCCGCAUUUAUGUUCCUUCAUCCGUUCCAGUUGCAAUGCAGAUUUCAGUCUUUGUUGCUUGCUGUGGGGAGAUGCACGCAGCAUCAUCAACUCCUAUGGAACUGACGUGGGCUUGAAGUCUUCAACCUUUGUCGACCUCAGCCCUUCAUGUUCGACAUGUUCAUAUCCCUCAUAGUAGGCAGAGAAAGAAGACGGCCAAGUAAUGCCAACAGUUGCAGACAAUCACAAGUUAAAAAACACUUUCUUCA
Molecule: RNA transcript, 3035 nt
Organism: Musa acuminata AAA Group (dessert banana)
Lineage: Eukaryota; Viridiplantae; Streptophyta; Magnoliopsida; Zingiberales; Musaceae
Gene name: APETALA2-like protein 1
Exons: 12
Source: RefSeq, a predicted model, not a curated record